RNAcentral lists this ribosomal RNA (252 nucleotides) under uncultured bacterium. Its description in RNAcentral is "partial 16S ribosomal RNA". It matches the Rfam family "Bacterial small subunit ribosomal RNA", at positions 524 to 776 of the family's 1533-position model. The record is from RNAcentral.
UACGUAGGGUGCAAGCGUUAAUCGGAAUUACUGGGCGUAAAGCGUGCGCAGGCGGUUUUGUAAGUCUGACGUGAAAUCCCCGGGCUCAACCUGGGAAUUGCGUUGGAGACUGAAGGCUAGAAUCUGGCAGAGGGGGGUAGAAUUCCACGUGUAGCAGUGAAAUGCGUAGAGAUGUGGAGGAACACCGAUGGCGAAGGCAGCCCCCUGGGUCAAGAUUGACGCUCAUGCACGAAAGCGUGGGGAGCAAACAGG